This 84-nucleotide transfer RNA is filed under the name Clerodendranthus spicatus. Its description in RNAcentral is "tRNA-Tyr". Lineage: Eukaryota; Viridiplantae; Streptophyta; Magnoliopsida; Lamiales; Lamiaceae. The record is from RNAcentral.
AUAUCAUCUCAUGGUAGAUUGAUGCGGUUUAUUGGGCCGAGCUGGAUUUGAACCAGCGUAGACAUAUUGCCAACGAAUUUACAG